Molecule: long non-coding RNA, 1384 nt
Organism: Oncorhynchus keta (chum salmon)
Lineage: Eukaryota; Metazoa; Chordata; Actinopteri; Salmoniformes; Salmonidae
Exons: 3
Source: RefSeq, a predicted model, not a curated record
AAUAAGAAGUGUGUGGGCACGGGAUGAAUAUUGUGAAGAAAGGAUUUGAAAAAAGAAGGUGCUGGAACUACCCCUGGGCUGUGUUCAGGAGAAAGCAACUUGAUGCCAAAAGAAACAGGAAGAUCCAGUCAAGGCAAAAUAAAGCAAAUGCACUAACAAGACUCUUCAAGCAGAUGUUGAACGUGACCUUCACUUCUACGAGCCCUAGAGAGCGAGCUAGAGACGAGAGGAAACAUGAUUUCUUCAGCUGCGUUUGGGAAUGAGACUGAAUAUCCAUUAGGUGCUGCUUCCCUCCUCUCACUCUUCUCAUCCACUCCCAUAUGGCAGGCGCAUGGAUCUGGGCAUAGGGAGAGAGUGAUAAAGAGGUCCCAUAUGUGUGUCUGUUUCUCUUUGUUAGUUCCCAAGCAAACAGAAGCCCUCUUCAGCAGAUUGAGUGAAAUGAACGUUGUUUUAGAUGUCCAGAUAUGUGGCCCUCAUUUGCAUAAGGAGCUCACAUCACAAGCGGUAGAAAUAUGAAGUUAGACUCUUAUAUUGAGUAGUGUGCUUUAAAGGGACUUCCUGAAUGCCACAAUGAAAGUUCUCUCUGGCAAAAAAAAUUGUUUUUUUUUUUUUUUUUCAAAAUAAGAUUUACUUGUUCAAAUACACCAUUUUAAUUUGAAAAUGUAUAUCCAGGCUUUCAUACAGUAUAUUUCAGCACAUUACCUAUAUAUUCUAUUUUAUUUGUCUUUUUUUAUUACACAAUGUUAAGAUUUACUUUUCAAAUACACCAUUUAAAUGUGAAUAUUUACAUACAGGCUUUCAUAUAGCACACUAUAAAGACACUAUAUAAUCUGUACAUUGCAUCACAACAACAUUUCAAUGACAAACAUUACCAUUCCAUGUCAAAUAAAUAAAUGGUAAAAAUGACAAAGUAUCAGAGUCUGAAUAUGAAGUUAACAUGAUAAACCCCCCUUUAAACACAAACCGGAAAAAAUAAUUAUCUAAAGACAAUCAAAAUACACAUAUGUUAGUUCAAUGUAUUCUAGAAUACAUGACAUGUAUGUAUAGGCUACCAAUAUGCAGCAUGAUUCUUCAUAGGGACUGAAUAGGUGUAUAACUACUGUAUCUACUGUUUACUAGGUGUAAAUGUUUAAUUUGAGAGGCCCAGAGGCUCAAAGUUCUUGAUUGACCAAUGUUAUUAGUUGAUAGUCAAAUGUCCCAGUGAGACUUCACUUGUUGUUUCUCCAGUACUUUCAUCAGAUAAAGAGUUGAUCAGAUGCAAAGCAAAGUCUGAUAUUUUGUCCCAAUCUUUUUUAAUGUUGACCACCACAUUUUGUUUCGUCUCAUCUUCAUAUGUUACUUCAGAAAUUGACUCCAGAUCACUUAUUGCGCCUUGAACCACAUA